AGAACGAACGCUGGCGGCAGGCUUAACACAUGCAAGUCGAACGAAUGCAGCAAUGCAUUAGUGGCGCACGGGUGAGUAACGCGUGGAUAUCUGCCUUUUGGUUCGGGAUAACCUUGGGAAACUAGGGCUAAUACCGAAUGGUUCCUACGGGAUAAAGAUUUAUCGCCAAAAGAUGAGUCCGCGUCCGAUUAGCUAGUUGGUGGGGUAAUGGCCCACCAAGGCGACGAUCGGUAGCUGGUCUGAGAGGACGAUCAGCCACACUGGGACUGAGACACGGCCCAGACUCCUACGGGAGGCAGCAGUGGGAAUAUUGGACAAUGGGGGCAACCCUGAUCCAGCCAUGCCGCGUGAGUGAUGAAGGCCUUCGGGUUGUAAAGCUCUUUUGGCGGGGACGAUGAUGACGGUACCGCAGAAUAAGCCCCGGCUAACUUCGCGCCAGCAGCCGC
Molecule: ribosomal RNA, 446 nt
Filed under: uncultured bacterium
Lineage: Bacteria
Description: SSU rRNA
Rfam family: Bacterial small subunit ribosomal RNA
Source: RNAcentral